This 732-nucleotide ribosomal RNA is filed under the name uncultured Leptotrichia sp. Its description in RNAcentral is "bacterial SSU rRNA". It matches the Rfam family "Bacterial small subunit ribosomal RNA", at positions 28 to 776 of the family's 1533-position model. The record is from RNAcentral. Lineage: Bacteria; Fusobacteriati; Fusobacteriota; Fusobacteriia; Fusobacteriales; Leptotrichiaceae.
GAUGAACGCUGACAGAAUGCUUAACACAUGCAAGUCUUUGGCGAAGCUGUGCUUGCACAGCCUAGCCAAGGCGGACGGGUGAGUAACGCGUAAGGAACUUGCCCUGCAGUCAGGGAUAACAGACGGAAACGACUGAUAAGACCUGAUAAAGUCAGGCGGACUCAUGUCCAGCCUGAUGAAAAGAAAUGCUGCAGGAGAGCCUUGCGUCCUAUUAGCUUGUUGGUGGGGUAACGGCCCACCAAGGCGAUGAUAGGUAGCCGGCCUGAGAGGGUAGACGGCCACAAGGGGACUGAGAUACGGCCCUUACUCCUACGGGAGGCAGCAGUGGGGAAUAUUGGACAAUGGGGGCAACCCUGAUCCAGCAAUUCUGUGUGCACGAUGAAGGUUUUCGGAUUGUAAAGUGCUUUCAGCAGGGAAGAAAAAAAUGACGGUACCUGCAGAAGAAGCGACGGCUAAAUACGUGCCAGCAGCCGCGGUAAUACGUAUGUCGCAAGCGUUAUCCGGAAUUAUUGGGCAUAAAGGGCAUCUAGGCGGCCAGAUAAGUCUGGGGUGAAAACUUGCGGCUCAACCGCAAGCCUGCCCUGGAAACUAUGUGGCUAGAGUACUGGAGAGGUGGACGGAACUGCACGAGUAGAGGUGAAAUUCGUAGAUAUGUGCAGGAAUGCCGAUGAUGAAGAUAGUUCACUGGACGGUAACUGACGCUGAAGUGCGAAAGCUAGGGGAGCAAACAGG